UACGAAGGGGGCUAGCGUUGUUCGGAAUUACUGGGCGUAAAGCGCGCGCAGGCGGCUAUCCAAGUCAAGUGGUGAAAGGCCCGGAGCUCAACUCCGGAACUGCCAUUGAAACUGUUUAGCUUGAGGAUGAGAGAAGGUGAGUGGAAUUCCCAGUGUAGAGGUGAAAUUCGUAGAUAUUGGGAAGAACACCGGUGGCGAAGGCGGCUCACUGGCUCAUUACUGACGCUGAGGUGCGAAAGGCCGUGGGGGAGCAAA
This 255-nucleotide ribosomal RNA is filed under the name uncultured bacterium. RNAcentral's name for it is "partial 16S ribosomal RNA". It matches the Rfam family "Bacterial small subunit ribosomal RNA", at positions 524 to 772 of the family's 1533-position model. The record is from RNAcentral.